RNAcentral lists this ribosomal RNA (427 nucleotides) under Salmonella enterica subsp. enterica serovar Virchow. RNAcentral's name for it is "partial 23S ribosomal RNA". It matches the Rfam family "Bacterial large subunit ribosomal RNA", at positions 325 to 652 of the family's 2925-position model. Lineage: Bacteria; Pseudomonadati; Pseudomonadota; Gammaproteobacteria; Enterobacterales; Enterobacteriaceae. The record is from RNAcentral.
UGUGUUAGUGGAAGCGUCUGGAAAGGCGUGCGAUACAGGGUGACAGCCCCGUACACAAAAGCGCAUGUGCUGUGAGCUCGAUGAGUAGGGCGGGACACGUGGUAUCCUGUCUGAAUAUGGGGGGACCAUCCUCCAAGGCUAAAUACUCCUGACUGACCGAUAGUGAACCAGUACCGUGAGGGAAAGGCGAAAAGAACCCCGGCGAGGGGAGUGAAAAAGAACCUGAAACCGUGUACGUACAAGCAGUGGGAGCCCCACCACUAAGCCAGUGGUGAACUCCACAUACGCAUCCUUUGCUGAAGGCAAUGGUUAACGGAGCGAAAGCGACGUUCAACCGCAAAACAAGCAGAGGGGGCUUAGUGGUGGGGUGACUGCGUACCUUUUGUAUAAUGGGUCAGCGACUUAUAUUCUGUAGCAAGGUUAACCG